This 73-nucleotide transfer RNA is filed under the name Chloroflexota bacterium. RNAcentral describes it as "tRNA-Cys". It matches the Rfam family "tRNA". From Rfam's summary of the family: Transfer RNA (tRNA) molecules are approximately 80 nucleotides in length. Their secondary structure includes four short double-helical elements and three loops (D, anti-codon, and T loops). Lineage: Bacteria; Bacillati; Chloroflexota. RNAcentral also lists the same sequence under 1 other name. The record is from RNAcentral.
GGCGACGUGGCCAAGUGGACAAGGCAAGGCUCUGCAAAAGCCUGAUCAUCGGUUCGAUUCCGAUCGUCGCCUC